This 205-nucleotide ribosomal RNA is filed under the name Clostridioides difficile. RNAcentral's name for it is "partial 23S ribosomal RNA". It matches the Rfam family "Bacterial large subunit ribosomal RNA", at positions 1350 to 1540 of the family's 2925-position model. The record is from RNAcentral. Lineage: Bacteria; Bacillati; Bacillota; Clostridia; Peptostreptococcales; Peptostreptococcaceae.
UAAGCUAAGCAGUUUCCAGGGGAAGGUUCGUCCGCCCUGGGUUAGUCGGGACCUAAGCUGAGGCCGAAAGGCGUAUGGGAUGGACUACAGGUUGAGAUUCCUGUACUACCGAUCACGGUUUGAGAGAGGGGAUGACAUAGUAGGAUAAGCUAAGCACACUGUUGGUUAUGUGUGCCCAAGCAUUGAGGCAGUCAAAGUAGGCAAA